This 201-nucleotide ribosomal RNA is filed under the name uncultured Lactobacillus sp. RNAcentral describes it as "partial 16S ribosomal RNA". It matches the Rfam family "Bacterial small subunit ribosomal RNA", at positions 162 to 354 of the family's 1533-position model. The record is from RNAcentral. Lineage: Bacteria; Bacillati; Bacillota; Bacilli; Lactobacillales; Lactobacillaceae.
GCUAAUACCGGAUAACAACAGAUGAUGCCUAUCAACUGUUUAAAAGAAUGGUUCUGCUAUCACUCUUGGAUGGACCUGCGGUGCAUUAGCUAGUUGGUAGGGUAACGGCCUACCAAGGCGAUGAUGCAUAGCCGAGUUGAGAGACUGAUCGGCCACAUUGGGACUGAGACACGGCCCAAACUCCUACGGGAGGCAGCAGGC